CCUACGGGUGGCAGCAGUGGGGAAUAUUGGACAAUGGGGGGAACCCUGAUCCAGCCAUGCCGCGUGUGUGAAGAAGGCCCUCGGGUUGUAAAGCACUUUCAGUGAGGAAGAACGCCUGGUGGUUAAUACCCAUCAGGAAAGACAUCACUCACAGAAGAAGCACCGGCUAACUCCGUGCCAGCAGCCGCGGUAAUACGGAGGGUGCGAGCGUUAAUCGGAAUUACUGGGCGUAAAGCGCGCGUAGGUGGCUUGAUAAGCCGGUUGUGAAAGCCCCGGGCUCAACCUGGGAACGGCAUCCGGAACUGUCAAGCUAGAGUACAGGAGAGGAAGGUAGAAUUCCCGGUGUAGCGGUGAAAUGCGUAGAGAUCGGGAGGAAUACCAGUGGCGAAGGCGGCCUUCUGGACUGACACUGACACUGAGGUGCGAAAGCGUGGGUAGCAAACAGGAUUAGAUACCCUAGUAGUC
Molecule: ribosomal RNA, 465 nt
Filed under: Vreelandella stevensii
Lineage: Bacteria; Pseudomonadati; Pseudomonadota; Gammaproteobacteria; Oceanospirillales; Halomonadaceae
Description: partial 16S ribosomal RNA
Rfam family: Bacterial small subunit ribosomal RNA
Source: RNAcentral